CCUACGGGGGGCUGCAGUGGGGAAUUUUCCGCAAUGGGCGAAAGCCUGACGGAGCGACGCCGCGUGGAGGAUGAAGGAUUUCGGUCUGUAAACUCCUGUCAGGGGGGACGAUGAUGACGGUACCCCCAAAGGAAGCAUCGGCUAACUACGUGCCAGCAGCCGCGGUAAGACGUAGGAUGCGAGCGUUGUUCGGAAUUAUUGGGCGUAAAGCGUGCGUAGGCGGCUAUUUAAGUCUGGUGUUAAAGCUAGGGGCUCAACCCCUGUGUUGCACGGGAAACUGGAUAGCUUGAGUACGGUAGGGGAAGGUGGAAUUCCGAGUGUAGCGGUGAAAUGCGUAGAUAUUCGGAAGAACACCGGUGGCGAAGGCGACCUUCUGGGCCGUCACUGACGCUGAGGCACGAAAGCGUGGGGAGCAAACGGGAUUAGAUACCCUGGUAGUC
RNAcentral lists this ribosomal RNA (440 nucleotides) under uncultured bacterium. RNAcentral's name for it is "partial 16S ribosomal RNA". It matches the Rfam family "Bacterial small subunit ribosomal RNA", at positions 338 to 795 of the family's 1533-position model. The record is from RNAcentral.